This 491-nucleotide ribosomal RNA is filed under the name uncultured bacterium. RNAcentral's name for it is "bacterial SSU rRNA". It matches the Rfam family "Bacterial small subunit ribosomal RNA", at positions 29 to 507 of the family's 1533-position model. The record is from RNAcentral.
AACGAACGCUGGCGGCGUGUCUUAAGCAUGCAAGUCGAGCGGCAAGGAAGUGCUUGCACUUCCCUAGAGCGGCGGACUGGUGAGUAACGCGUGGGUGAUCUACCUCGGGGUUGGGGAUAGCCAUUAGAAAUAGUGGGUAAUACCGAAUACGCUUCCAGGGCUACAGCCUUGGAAGGAAAGGCGCUACGGCGCCGACCUGAGAUGAGCCCGCGUCCCAUUAGCUAGUUGGUGAGGUAACGGCCCACCAAGGCGAUGAUGGGUAGGCGGCCUGAGAGGGUGUACGCCCACAUUGGGACUGAGAUACGGCCCAAACUCCUACGGGAGGCAGCAGCUAAGAAUAUUCCGCAAUGGACGAAAGUCUGACGGAGCGACGCCGCGUGGAUGAUGAAGGCCGGAAGGUUGUAAAAUCCUUUUGUCGGGGAAGAAUAAGCGUGGGAGGGAAUGCCCGCGUGAUGACAUGAACCGGCGAAUAAGCCCCGGCUAACUACGUG